RNAcentral lists this ribosomal RNA (521 nucleotides) under uncultured bacterium. Its description in RNAcentral is "bacterial SSU rRNA". It matches the Rfam family "Bacterial small subunit ribosomal RNA", at positions 18 to 518 of the family's 1533-position model. The record is from RNAcentral.
CCUGGCUUAGGACUAACGCUGGCGGCGUGCCUAACACAUGCAAGUCGAACGAUUCUUGAUUAUAGCAAUAUUAUAAAGAGGAGUGGCGAACGGGUGAGUAACACGUAGAUAAUCUGCCUUCAGACGGGGACAACUCAGGGAAACUUGUGCUAAUACCCGAUGAGACCACAAGAAGGGAUUUUUGUGGCCAAAGGCGGGCAGCAAUGCUCGUGCUGAAAGAUGAGUCUGCGUCCUAUCAGCUAGUUGGUGGGGUAAAUGCCUACCAAGGCUAAGACGGGUAGCCGGCCUGAGAGGGUGAACGGCCACACUGGGACUGAGACACGGCCCAGACUCCUACGGGAGGCAGCAGUGAGGAAUUUUCCGCAAUGGGCGCAAGCCUGACGGAGCGACGCCGCGUGAGGGAAUGACAGCUUUCGGGUUGUAAACCUCUUUUAUUAAGGAAAAAGAUCUAUAUGCUAAUAUCAUGUAGAUUUGAUGGUACUUAUUGAAUAAGCCCCGGCUAACUACGUGCCAGCCGCCGC